ACAGCCUGGGGCACCAAGAUGGAGUCACAGACCCAGGUCUUCAUAUUCCUGCUCCUCUGGAUGUCUGGUGCUGAUGGAAGCAUCAUGAUGACCCAGUCUCCUGAAUUCAUGUCCACAUCUGUUGGAGACAGAAUCACCCUAAGCUGCAAGUCCAGUCAGAGUGUGAGGAGUUAUGUAGCUUGGUACCAGCAGAAACCAGGGCAGCCUCCUAAACUGCUGAUCUACAGGGCAUCCACUCGAUACACUGGGGUCCCUGAUCGCUUCGCAGGCAGUGGAUCUGGGACAGAUUUCACUCUCACCAUCAGCAGUGUGCAGGCUGAAGACCUGGCAGUUUAUUACUGUCAGCAGUAUGACUAUACUCCUCCCACA
Molecule: non-coding RNA, 369 nt
Organism: Psammomys obesus (fat sand rat)
Lineage: Eukaryota; Metazoa; Chordata; Mammalia; Rodentia; Muridae
Source: the annotation of a RefSeq genome assembly